Molecule: long non-coding RNA, 900 nt
Filed under: Brassica napus (rape)
Lineage: Eukaryota; Viridiplantae; Streptophyta; Magnoliopsida; Brassicales; Brassicaceae
Description: long non-coding RNA (BNAP_LNC007065)
Source: RNAcentral
CUUUCGAACCGAGUAAAGACCAAUGAUCGGGGAAAUAUCGUUGCUGCCCAUAGCACGCCAUACGAUAACCUCCACUUCUAACACCCACACCACACGACUAUCGCUGCUGCCUACGCCCGCCAAUCGAUAACGUCCAACGAAACAAAUACCUGAAACUUCAUAACCCAACAGGGGGAACACUCACUCGGUUCACCUCCUUCGGAUACGGAUGUGCCGCAUUCAUACGACCACUUACCCUCGAUAGAAGCUCUACACUAAUACCACAGAAUGAAGUCUUGCCAAUCAAUCUCUCCUGACACGCUCUAAACACAUGGCAAGCAAUCACUGAACUCAACACCAUAGAUGAAAGUCUGCUAAAUAAGUUUAAAGUUCUGUAUUUUCAAGAACCAAAACAUGAUACCAAGUUUCAACAACCAGGAAAUCGAACGCUCCACUCCACAACAACCCAAUCCGCAACAAAACCACUUGGAAAAUAAAGGAGAGAGGCAACCAACCCGUCACGCGCCGUCACUGCUAUGACUCCGAAUAGAUCUAGAAAUGGAAAAUCAGAUCUGUCGAAAGUUAAACCCAUAAACGCCGACUCAACCUGCUUUAGAACCUGCGAUGCCUCGUAGUUACACCAGUGAAAAAUCUCAAGACACCGGAGCAAGCUCUCCCCGUAGCAAUACUAGGGAGCCGGCGGCGAGACCUUAACCAGUGCUUCCAACAUAUCAACACCAACAGAAAAAGAAAGAGGUGAGCAAAUAAAAAUGAGAUAGGGAAGAAGGGGGAUGGCCGGCAACGGACGCGCAGGUCACGCGCCGGCGGACUUGAAACUCUGAAAAAGUCGCCUAUGGAGAGAAGAAGGUGAGAGGGUUUUCCAAAUCACAAUUACUUAUUGUGUAAACUUUUUUCUUAUUG